AGCGGGCGGUGUUGUCGAGUCGCGAGGCUACGGCACGCGCUCGAAGACGAGGGAAGACGUGGAGAGAGAGAUCAGAGCGUUUCUCUCCAGGGAAGGGAAGGUCGGUUUCAAGAGUGAAGCG
This 121-nucleotide small nuclear RNA is filed under the name Chloropicon mariensis. Its description in RNAcentral is "partial Dictyostelium signal recognition particle". The record is from RNAcentral. Lineage: Eukaryota; Viridiplantae; Chlorophyta; Chloropicophyceae; Chloropicales; Chloropicaceae.